ACCUCAGAGCAGGCGAGAUCAC
This 22-nucleotide ribosomal RNA is filed under the name Sympetrum striolatum. RNAcentral describes it as "partial 28S ribosomal RNA". RNAcentral also lists the same sequence under 4 other names. Lineage: Eukaryota; Metazoa; Arthropoda; Insecta; Odonata; Libellulidae. The record is from RNAcentral.